RNAcentral lists this ribosomal RNA (228 nucleotides) under uncultured bacterium. Its description in RNAcentral is "partial 16S ribosomal RNA". It matches the Rfam family "Bacterial small subunit ribosomal RNA", at positions 524 to 751 of the family's 1533-position model. The record is from RNAcentral.
UACGAAGGGGGCUAGCGUUGUUCGGAAUUACUGGGCGUAAAGCGCACGUAGGCGGAUAUUUAAGUCAGGGGUGAAAUCCCAGAGCUCAACUCUGGAACUGCCUUUGAUACUGGGUAUCUUGAGUAUGGAAGAGGUAAGUGGAAUUGCGAGUGUAGAGGUGAAAUUCGUAGAUAUUCGCAGGAACACCAGUGGCGAAGGCGGCUUACUGGUCCAUAACUGACGCUGAGG